UAGUCUGAACUUAGACUUCACAGACGUACAGAAACCUGCUUGAGGGGAAAGCAGAGGGCAAGUGUGAGGUCAAGGCCCACAAGUGCCAGACUCGCAGCAGGCUGUGCAGCAGCUGGACAGCGCCUAACCCACAGCAAAACCACCAGCUGCGCUGGCUGACGGAGCAGGCCGGCUCUCGCCAGGCCGCAGGCACACAGCUCCCAUCGCUGUGAGAAUCCUCGGCACUGGCGCUGUGUGCAGCAUUCAUGGGCUCUAUAAAAACUCUCCUCAGACUGUGUGUGCCUGUCUAAGCUGCUGGGCACGGGCAGCUCAUUGCAGGGGUGCCCUCGGCGGGCGCUCUGUGGGCACAGCGCACGGGACAAUGGUUCUCUCCAGGCCGGACUGUUUGAAUAACAGUAAUCUUCAACCGGAUUUCUAUUUAAAAUGUGCCCGUACUAAUUAAGACUUUAUUUCCUCGUCUCCUUGCACAUCUAUAUUGGUAAAGCUGAAAACUUCUGUCUAUGUCCCACACAUGAAAUACAAUAGUUCAGAGCAGGCUCAUAAAGGCUGAGGCAGGAACGUACCCUUGGAGAUCAGCUGUUGUGUUAGAAUAAAGAUAUUUUGCAAAAUUUUCCCAGGUACGUAGCUCAGACUCACAGAAAAACUGGUUUGGAAAAAAGAGAUCAGAGGCCCCCUAGUUCAUCAAGCUGCCCAAGGCAAGAUUUCUAUACCUAUUUCCCAGCAGAUGUUUCAGCUAACCUCUUCCUACAGACCUCCAGGACAAAUUUCACAAAUUCUUCUGACAUUCUAUUGCAGCUCUGCACUAUCUGCUCUAGUAAAAUGUUUGUUCUCAUAUCUCAUCUGGGUGAGCCCAUUUCUUCAAUCUUCACUUCCUGUCCCACCCACUCUGGACUCAGAGAACAAAAAAUCAUCUUCAGCAUUCAGCUUGUAAUGAUCCACCAGCCACUUCACUUCUGUAUUCAUGUGUGGACUUACUCCAGGGAUCCUGCAAAGCUCCUUAAAGAGCCUUGCUGGGACAUUCCUAAGAGGAGCACCUAUCAUCUGCAUUCAGAAAUACCUCCAUAACAAUUUCCUCUCAACAAAUAAAUUCAACAAGAAUUUUAAACAGACAAGUUAAACACUUAAAAUCAAGAAAAUGAAGGCUCUCUUUCUGGAGGAAACAUUUGGUAACAGUACUGUAGCUGCUACUUAGAUUUGUCCUCUUUGACCAAUGCCAUUAUUAAAUAGAGUUAAUAAAAAAUUGAAUCACACA
Long non-coding RNA from Cyanistes caeruleus (blue tit), 1252 nucleotides. RefSeq lists it as uncharacterized. Lineage: Eukaryota; Metazoa; Chordata; Aves; Passeriformes; Paridae. The record is from RefSeq and is a predicted model, not a curated record.